AACGAACGCUGGCGGCAGGCCUAACACAUGCAAGUCGAGCGCGCCUGCGGGUGAGCGGCGGGCGGGUGAGUAACGGGUGGGAAUAUGCGCUUCUCUCCGGAGUAGCCUGGGGAAACUGGGGGUAAUACCGUAUACGAGCGUUGCGGGUACGAGUUAUCGGGGAAGGAUUAGCCCGCGUGUGAUGAGGUAGUUGGUGGGGUAAUGGCCUACCAAGCCGGGGAUCUAUGGCUGGUUGGGGAGGAGGAUCGGCCAAACCGGGACUGAGACACAGCCCAGACUCAUACGGGAGGCAGCGGGGGGGAAUGUUAGACAAUGGCGGCAACCCUGAUCGAGCCAUGCCGCGUGAGUGAUGAAGGCCUUAGGGUUGUAAAGCUCUUUCAGCUGGGAAGAUAAUGACGGUACCAGCAGAAGAAGCCCCGGCUAACUCCGUG
Molecule: ribosomal RNA, 431 nt
Filed under: uncultured bacterium
Lineage: Bacteria
Description: partial 16S ribosomal RNA
Rfam family: Bacterial small subunit ribosomal RNA
Source: RNAcentral